AAACGCUUGAAGUCAGACUUGCUUGCCGAGCAAUCGGUUUGCAGGCCAGCAUCAGUUUUCCGGGAUGGAUAAUGGUAGAGAGAAGGUAGCAGUUUCGGCUGUGUUAUAGCUCUCUGCUGGAUACAUCUUGGGGGACUGAGGAACGCAGUGUGCCUUUGGCGGGGGUUUCGACCUCUUCACACUUAGGAUGCUGGUGGAAUGGCUUUAAACGA
This 212-nucleotide ribosomal RNA is filed under the name Rhodotorula mucilaginosa. RNAcentral's name for it is "partial large subunit ribosomal RNA". Lineage: Eukaryota; Fungi; Basidiomycota; Microbotryomycetes; Sporidiobolales; Sporidiobolaceae. The record is from RNAcentral.